GGGAAUGAUUGAGUAGCUGGUGCUCUUCGCGGCCUUCAAAGCCGUUGUCUUCAGUAAACCUGAAGAGCUGGGUUCGAUUCCCAGGCGUUCCCGCCA
RNAcentral lists this transfer RNA (96 nucleotides) under Fidelibacterota bacterium. Its description in RNAcentral is "tRNA-Sec". It matches the Rfam family "Selenocysteine transfer RNA". Lineage: Bacteria; Pseudomonadati; Fidelibacterota. The record is from RNAcentral.